GUGUGGGUGGGACUGCAGAUAUGUGAUAGUACUGAAAGUGUUCAGACUCAGGACUCCAUUUUGUGUUCAGUGUGAUUAUAGACUUCAACGUGUUAAGUCUGCUUUAGACCUCAGUGGAAGUGGAUGCAUGUUUGGUUAUGGACUUCAGUGAAUACAAGUAUACUUAAAGACUACUGAUUAUUGAUAGAAUGAUGCUCUGUGUACUCAACACAGAGAGAAACCCACAUUCUAUCUGUAAUAAGAAAUGUGCCUGUAUGGUGAAUUAAUACAAGAUGUUAUUGAGUAAACAAGGUAUGUUAUUUUGCAAAGAAGACUUUGCUUUUAUCUCUGAGUGCAUAUUUUAAGUUAAAGGGGUUUUAAAGGGACCCUUCAAAGAAAAAUCUUUAAAACUCUGCGAAUCAAAUAUAUUUUUGUAGUGGCAUGUCAUUAUUUUGGGCAGUUUAAAGACAUGGUUCUUCAGUUUAACAGCUGAGGUACCUGUGUGCCAUUACAUGAAUGCUUGUGAAUAUCACUUGUUCAAAGGGUCAACUUCUAACAAGGGCAUGCUUUUCUUGAGUGGUGGUUUUUAAAAAGGUGGUCUCCACAUAUUCAUGGAGAUUCACAUUUGCCAAAAGGAUAUGUGCCCAGACUGUGGGUGCAGCUAUUUCCAAUAGUUGUAUCUAUUAGAAAUCAAUAGACAUUUUGUUAGGGUUCUCAGCAGAUGUGGAGUGUACUUUUCCAUUGUAAGUAGUAGCCUGCUACAAUAAAAACACAAGCUGCUUGUAGCAUAGAUCCAUCUUGCUGUGUCAUUUGUCCUCUGUUUAUCUGACAAAGUAUAGUAACUGAUGUGUGUAAUCUAUCAUGUCCUUUAUGCAAACAAAGGCUUCCAUGGAACAAGGGCAGAGUCUGAGGUCAGCUGCAUUGAUAGAAAUUAGGGGUGAAGACAAGACUUAGACUUAACCUCACUGAUAUCUUCAGUUAUUUUCAAGACUUCGAUUGUUAUCAGGAUAGAAGACCAAAAGUCCAAAGAACCAGUUCUGAAGUCGUAAGAUUGUGUUUGCUGUGUACACAACAAUUAGCACAUGUUAAGAGAAAGUGUCAUGUCAUUAGAGAUAGAGUGUGGGGUUCCUUCACAUUACAGAGUUAUAACACUAUGAUUUCACUUUACUGCCACAGUUCCAGUUUAUGGAAUGCCAAGGUUUGCAAUUUAUAAAGGACCAUUUAGAAAUCUCAGAGAAAGAAAUGGCAGAUCCCAGGAUUCCAUAGGAUAUAUAGCCAUGGCAGUUAAAGUGGAAUUAUAAUGAUAGAUCAUUGGAGUGUGACUGGGCCUGUGGGCUUUAAGAGAUCCGGGUUCUAACCAUUGAGACUUCGGAUUUACUAGGUAACUUUGGACCAGUCACAUGCUCUCGUGGCUUGAUGUAACUCACAUGGUUGUUGGGAGGAUUAAAUGUGAAGGAGCAAGUGCCUGUUUGGUCCACUGAACUCUUUCAAAGAAAUAGAGGAUAAAAAGAAAUGUUGACUAAAACAACAAUGUCUUCCUAAGUGAAGAUAACAUCGGGAUCAAGUGACUACUUUGUCCACCUGGAGCAGAUGGGCAGAUCUUUGGAGUAAAGGGGAAAUACUCUGGAUUGGACAUCCCAGCAUUCAGCUUCUCUCUUCUCUAAAACCAGUCUCCAAUACUCAGCACUAUACAGCAUGAUCCUGAAACAGCUUAAACAAGUCCAGCCACCUUAACAUCAAGAAAACUAAGAGAAGAAUUACAAUUACUCAUACAGACAGUGGCCCAAAUGAUAAUCUUGGUCCCAUUGAAUCAGUUGGAUUUAUCUAUGGGUUGAUUCUCCAUUCAACAAUUGCUUCAAUUGAUGUAUUCUAAUUGAGAUUAACUAACAGUGUUCCAAUCAGUGGUCUUUUAUUUUAGCUCACAAGUCCCAAACAUAUUCACUUGAAAAUAAACCUAAGCCAUCACA
Long non-coding RNA from Anolis carolinensis (green anole), 1946 nucleotides. RefSeq lists it as uncharacterized. The transcript is spliced from 3 exons. The record is from RefSeq and is a predicted model, not a curated record. NCBI's taxonomy places the organism in Eukaryota, Metazoa, Chordata, Lepidosauria, Squamata, Anolidae.